UACGUAGGGUGCAAGCGUUAAUCGGGCUUACUGGGCGUAAAGCGUGCGCAGGCGGUUCCAUAAGACAGAUGUGAAAUCCCCGGGCUCAACCUGGGAACUGCAUUUGUGACUGUGGGGCUAGAGUACGGUAGAGGGGGAUGGAAUUCCGCGUGUAGCAGUGAAAUGCGUAGAUAUGCGGAGGAACACCAAUGGCGAAGGCAAUCCCCUGGACCUGUACUGACGCUCAUGCACGAAAGCGUGGGGAGCAAACAGG
Molecule: ribosomal RNA, 253 nt
Filed under: uncultured bacterium
Lineage: Bacteria
Description: partial 16S ribosomal RNA
Rfam family: Bacterial small subunit ribosomal RNA
Source: RNAcentral